Molecule: non-coding RNA, 1523 nt
Organism: Myodes glareolus (Bank vole)
Lineage: Eukaryota; Metazoa; Chordata; Mammalia; Rodentia; Cricetidae
Source: RefSeq, a predicted model, not a curated record
CGACGUUGUGGCCUCUGGACAAGGCGGUGCUUAGAAAUGGUUCUCUUCCUGCUGACGUCAUUGCAUGGAUGCCGUUCCAUAGCAUAGACUUAACGUCAGUGGUACCCAGCCCCAGGAGCCGCUUUCCCGGAAGUGGCAGUGAUUUCUCAACAACAAUAAAGCUAGCUACACUCAGCCUCUCUCGAUUAUGCUGCGGGAACAACCUGUGUAGGGAAACAAUACCCUCGAUCCUGCUGAAGGUUCGCACAGAUGGGACACCAGUGGGAGGAGCUGCCAGCUACUUCCCUGCCAGCGCGUUAGUGCUGGUGACAUGAUCCUCUUGUUUUGCCAGCUUAAUAGAGGAUCAGCCGUAAAAAUUCUCUGUAGGCUCAGCAACAUAAUUAUUAUCUAUGGUCUCUGCAUUAACUGCGAGGAAACAGCAUGGUCUGAAUCUGUCUCAUUUUAAAUGCCAAGCUGUGCCCACAUUCAGCCCACAGCCAACCUGAAAAUCCAAUGUCCCUGCCACACAGCUCUGCCUGUCGUCAUGCGGAAGUUAAGCAUGCGGUUGCCUGAGUCCCGGUGUUUAAGCAUCCUCGGCUGUCGCUGCGUUUGCUUCCUUCCUCCUGACCUUUACCAACAUCAGUGCCCUUGAUGGAAAUUAUUAAGUAGGUAAAAAAAAAAAAUCUGUGUCACAUUUCGUUCUGGUACUCAGUCCAGAAGAGCCAAACCCCUGCAAAUUUGGAAAACAAACUCCUUAACAGAUGGGCCACAUGAAGUUUACAGCAUGUGCAGUGUGGGAGGUUCCCCACCUAACCAUGGACUCAUUCUCUGGAAGUGUAAGCCCCAAUAAGCUCUUCCUUCUCUUUAGAGAGUCUUCAUGAAAACAGAUGAGAACGUGGAGAGCGAAUGACAGAGAACUGAGACGGAUGAACACACUGUAGAAGGGAGCAUUGGAACCUGAUACCCCAAGCCUGGUUGAUAUCCCGUAUCUGAAGAUAAAUGGAGGAGGAAGAGAUGAUGCAGGGAUGGGAAGGGAAGAGGGCCUGGGAAGAGAGAGGAGAGAGGGAAACACCAACCAAAUAAAUAAAAACAAAUGAAAGAAGGGAGCGUUGGAUAUGUAAGGACACAGUUUUCAUACUUCAGGAUCCUAUUUUUGAUCCUAUGAAGAAGAAAAUGUUCUUCAUAGAAAUAUUAUUAGAUUGAAAUACAAGGUACUAGCAAUUCACGUUUAAUGGAGGUCAUGAAAGAGUGUGAAAAGUGUAAGAAUUGAAGUCACACCUGACAACUGUGGUUGUCUCUGCUUUUCCAUCCACUGUAUUCCGUAGUUCUCUGUUAGCGGUUUUGAUCACGCCAGGCUUUGGUUAUGAAAGGAGAGAAGUGUGAGAACUGAAUCUAUUGAACUGGAAAUAAACAAUGUCUGGCUGGUAUGAUGCUCAGUGAGACAAGAUGCUCGUCAUCAAGUCUGAUUACCUAAGCUUGAUUCCUUGGGCCCUAAUCAGAGGAAGGAGAGAAUAGACUCACUUAAGUUAACUUCUGACCUCCAA